AUUGAACGCUGGCGGCAGGCCUAACACAUGCAAGUCGAGCGGAUGAAGGGAGCUUGCUCCUGGAUUCAGCGGCGGACGGGUGAGUAAUGCCUAGGAAUCUGCCUGGUUGUGGGGGAUAACGUCCGGAAACGGGCGCUAAUACCGCAUACGUCCUGAGGGAGAAAGUGGGGGAUCUUCGGACCUCACGCUAUCAGAUGAGCCUAGGUCGGAUUAGCUAGUUGGUGGGGUAAAGGCCUACCAAGGCGACGAUCCGUAACUGGUCUGAGAGGAUGAUCAGUCACACUGGAACUGAGACACGGUCCAGACUCCUACGGGAGGCAGCAGUGGGGAAUAUUGGACAAUGGGCGAAAGCCUGAUCCAGCCAUGCCGCGUGUGUGAAGAAGGUCUUCGGAUUGUAAAGCACUUUUAGUUGGGAAGAAGGGCAGUAAGUUAAUACCUUGCUGUUUUGACGGUACCAAAAGGAUAAGCACCGGCUAACUUCGUG
This 484-nucleotide ribosomal RNA is filed under the name uncultured bacterium. RNAcentral describes it as "partial 16S ribosomal RNA". It matches the Rfam family "Bacterial small subunit ribosomal RNA", at positions 30 to 507 of the family's 1533-position model. The record is from RNAcentral.